AAAUCAUAAGCUGGACUUUGAAGAAUACACAGGAUAAUAGUAGACGAAGAAGCAGGAGAGAGAAUAUUCCAAGCUGGAGGACCAAAUGAGGAAAGAGGUGGCCGUGGGACUCUCCCACUCCAUAAGGUCCUGAGAGGACACGUAGAUGCCGACUAGCUGUAUGGAGCGUGCUGUUCUAGGCAUCCACGUGUCUGUUAUAAACCAGACAAGAUUGAUGAUCCGAGUUCCACACAGUGUCGGCUGAAGGGAGAAGCAAUUAAAAGAGAACACAGUGGGGCACCAGGUUCAUCUCGAGAGCUCUUGUCUCUGGCAGUUGCCCUGAGUCCAAGGAAGACCUCAGAAGGUUCACUAGGCCCAGCAGGAUCCACCACUUACCAAACCCAUGAUUAAUAGGAACAGAGCUCCGGUCAUCUCUAUAUCCAGCUGAGUGAUGUACAUUUUCAUGUGGCACCCAAAUCAUCCUGCAAAAAGGACCCUGAGCCCUCAGGAACCGCAGGGAGCCUGCAGAGCUCCCAGGGUCCUCAGGGCCUUCCCACAGGGGCUCAGCA
RNAcentral lists this long non-coding RNA (548 nucleotides) under Homo sapiens (human). Its description in RNAcentral is "non-protein coding lnc-DCAF4-4:1". Lineage: Eukaryota; Metazoa; Chordata; Mammalia; Primates; Hominidae. The record is from RNAcentral.